RNAcentral lists this long non-coding RNA (6694 nucleotides) under Triticum aestivum (bread wheat). Its description in RNAcentral is "long non-coding RNA (TAES_LNC025526)". Lineage: Eukaryota; Viridiplantae; Streptophyta; Magnoliopsida; Poales; Poaceae. The record is from RNAcentral.
UAGCUCACUGGGAAGCCGCAGAGAAGGUCAGCGUGCUCGGGGAAGGCUUGGUGCGGUCGGAACAGCGACGGGGAUCUCGGCGGCCCGAGGUUGAAGAGGACAGCGGCGGGGACGAUGCAGGGGCUCCGGCGUCAUGCGGCUUGGCUAGUCGACAUAGUCGACGACGGCGAACCGUCCGGACACGAUGAGAGGGUGCAGGGACAGCGUUGGACAUGGCUGCGGCGAGCGACGGCGACGGUGACGUCUCGGGCGAUGUCGGGGAGGGCGAGAGAGAGGAACCAGAGGGAGGAGUGAAUGUCUGCGAGGUCGGGGAGAGAGAGGGGGGUCGUCCCACAUUGACAGCUCAACGAGGGGAGCGGCGAGGCGGCGGGCAGCUGCAUGGCGCGCUUGCUGUGCUCACCGUCGAGUAGCUGCUUGCCUGCAUGGCCAAGCCAAGCAGCUCGCUGGAGCGUUGGCUGGGCUGGGCCAGCAGGUGGGCCUGCUGGGGUGUGCGCCAGGUAAGCUUUCUCUUUCUCUCUUUUCCUGUUUGUUUUCUUUUUCUAUUUUUCUGUAACUUUAGGGCUUUAUUAAAAAUACUUAGGCACUUGCUAAAAUCCUGAAAAUAAUUGUGGGCUCUGUCGGGAUUAUUCCUAACAGCCCUCACUUAACUCCAGAAUUAUUUGGGCAUUUAAAAUAUUUUAUAGCAUUUAAAUGCCCAAAUUCAAAUACUUAUGAUUUAAUUCAAAGAAUCCAGAAUGUCCUAGAAAAGAGUGCACCAUUUUUGCCAGGGGUUUUAACCCAAUCCAGAAAUGAUGAACAUUUUGUGAAGGGCAUUUUGGGUUCAUUGAAAAUAAUUUUAGUAAACCCUAGUUGUUUCCAGGAGGUUGUUGGGGGUUCUGUCAUCCCCAUUUCAAGUUUCUGUAAAAGUAGACAUGACGCAACACUCUAAUGCAUGACUAGCUAGGAUGUGACAACUCACCCCACUCGAACGAAUCUCGUCCCGAGAUUUAGAAUCCGCCGGGAAGAAAGUGGGGUACUCGAGUCGAAGACGAUCCUCCCUUUCCCAAGUGGCUUCUUUCUCGGAAUGGUGUGACCAUUGAACCUUGAGAAACUUGAUAUUAUGUCGUCGAGUGAUACGCUCGGCUUGAUCAAGGAUACGAACGAGAUAUUCCCGAUAUGAGAGGUUAUCUUGUAGAUCAAGCGUUUCGUGGUCCACUCCACGGACAGGAUCCGCGAAGCAACGCAUGAGUUGAGAAACGUGGAAGACAUCGUGAACUCUGGAAAGAUGCGAAGGUAGUUCCAAUUGGUAGGCAACUUCUCCUCAUUUGGCAAGAAUGCGAAAGGGUCCAAUGUAACGAGGAGCCAACUUGCCCUUGAUACCGAAUCAAUGGGUUCCCUUUAACGGAGUAACCCGAAGGUAAGCCUUCUCGCCGACUUCAUAAGUCAUGAGCUUAUGUUUACGAUCAUAUUGGCUCUUUUGACGAGAUUGGGCUGUUUUCAAUUUCUCACGAAUAACACGAACCUGCUCCUCUGCUUCCUGAAUCAUAUCCGGGCCAAAGAGUUGUCUUUCCCCUGUUUCUGACCAGUUAAGAGGCGUUCGACAUUUUCGUCCAUAGAGAACUUCGAAAGGAGCUUUGCCCAAGCUAGCUUGAUAACUAUUAUUAUAAGCAAACUCCACGAAUGGAAGGCAUUUCUCCCAACCCACUCCGAAUGAGAUGACAGAAGCUCGGAGCAUAUCUUCCAAAAUUUGAUUGACUCGCUCUACUUGACCACUUGAUUGAGGAUGGAAGGCGGUGCUAAAAGAGAGACGAGUUCCCUUAGCAUUUUGGAAACUUUCCCAAAAUCGAGAGGUGAAGAGACUCCCACGGUCUGAGUUAAUUUCCAAUGGGACACCAUGAAGCGACACUAUUUGGGAGAUGUAUAAUUCAGCUAGCUGGCUAGCGGUGAUACUCUCACGAACAUGUAGGAAAUGGGCUACUUUGGAAAGACGGUCGAUCACGACGAAGAUGGCAUUAUUCCCUCUCUUGGUCCUGGGAAACCCAAUAAUGAAAUCCAUACUGAUUUUAUCCCAUUUCCACUCAUGAAUAGCCAAAGGUUGAAGGGUGCCAGCAGGCCGUUGGUGCUCUGCUUUAACACGACGACAGACGUCGCAACUAGCAAUGUAUUGAGCAAUUUCUCUCUUCAUCCUAGUCCACCAAAACCUCUGGCGUAGGUCUUGAUACAUUUUGGUACUACCGGGAUGAAUGCUGAGAGGGGAUUCAUGAGCAUCCUUAAGAAUCAACUAGCAUAAAUGUUGUUUCUUGGGAACCACCAAGCGAUUCUCGAAGAAGACAACAGCUCGCUCAUCCAUGGAAAAACAUUUAGCAACUCCGCUAGCGAUGUUCUCCUUAAUCUGGGAUAUGCCCUUAUCAUACCGCUGGGCGGUUAUGAUCUGAUCCAUAAGGUUAGGCUUUGCCACCAGGGUGGAUAGGAAACCUUGAGGAACAAUGUGAAGAUUAAGCUUACAAAAUUCCUCAUGGAGAAGUGGUUGACUUUGUUGUAACAUCAGGUUGUUACAAUAAGAUUUACGACUUAGCGCAUCAGCCAUGACAUUGGCUUUGCCCGGGGUGUAAGUUAUUCCUAAGUCGUAAUCCGAGAUCAACUCGACCCAACGUUGUUGUCUGAGAUUCAAAUCCGGUUGGGUGAAGAUAUAUUUCAAACUUUGGUGAUCGGUGAAGAUCUCGCAAUGAUUACUGAGAAGGUAAUGUCGCCAAGUUUUAAGUGCAUGGACUACACCUGCAAGCUCUAGAUCAUGUGUGGGAUAAUUUUCCUCAUGUGGGUGUAAUUGCCAUGAAGCAUAGGCAAUUACCUGACGAUCUUGCAUGAGUAUGCAACCUAGUCCUUAACCCACGUUGAAUGAGAAGAGAAUGACUCAGAUCAGAGAGCAUAAGGUAAAGGAGUAAAAAGAGCCUUACGUUCCCUCCCACAAUCAAUUCCCCUAUAUAUAACUAAAGCAUUUCUAGACUCGACAUUGACCAGUUUGGCUCAACGAACCUACAGGCAGUCCGGCUCUGAUGCCAACGCUGUCAGGACCACGAUUCCAAGUCACAUCGAUCUAGCCGGUAACACCUCAUAUCACAUUGUGGCCUCACGCACGGUAUCCCCACGGGUGUCGCCUUACCAUGGCCCGGGACCGUUUGCGCCUUUUGGCUCACGUAUAUGAUAGGGUCGCUAGCAUCCAUAUGACAGAGAACCCGGGCCGACAUGGCUAGUCGAGAACCCAAAGCGGCAGAGACCUAUGGAGACAGGCAUACAUGAAUCACAUCGAGCAUGUCGGUCAUCAGCGAGUGAAUCCGGGCUGUAGCACUGGGCUAACAGGACUCCAUGGAACUCGGGCUGUAGCAGGCUAGGUAGGACUCCGGAUGUCACCGCGUGACAUUUCCCCGAAGGGACAGACAUAGGAAUGAAGUGAAACACAUGUCGGCCAGUCAAGUGUCCUGAGCAGUAGUGUUGGGCUAGCAGGACUCCGGUGAACCGGGCUGUAGCGGACUACUAUGGCUCGAGGAACACUAGACUACAUUUCCCCAUAAGAAAGGCUGCCAAGGAUAAACAACUAGAUUGUCGGAUCCCACACAUACCAAGCAUUUCAAUCAUGCACACAAUAUGCUCGAUAUGUGUAAAUACAACAUGGCAUCACAACAAAACUCUACAACUCAAGUACUUUAUUUAAAGGCUCCAGAGAGCCAGACAUAACAUGUUCAUAUAGGUAGGGGUCACAUGACCCGACACUCAAGUCAUACAAGCAUACAAGAACAUGUGGAAGCAAAUAGUCUGAGUACAGACACUAGAAAGAAAGAAGGCUUCUCGAAGCCUGUCUAUCUACAUAGGGCCCUCCAUGGCCAGGAUCACCACCUGGGUGGCAAGUCACUCAUCGAUGUCGAGAUCUAUAUAAAACCCAUCGGAGGGGCGGUGUUGUCGUCUGAAAACAGUAAUUAAACAAACAUGAGUACAAAGGUACUCAGCAAGUCUUACAUCAGAACCUACUAUACAUGUUCAUUCUCAAGAAGGUGGUGGAGUUAUUGCAGCAAGCUAGCUUUGACUCUUGGCUAAGCUAUCCUACGGGACACCACUUAGUAAAAUAGUUUUCGCACACGAGUCCACUAAUCACCAACACAAUACACCAUCAGGGAUCCUCCCUCGUCAUCCUACGAGAGGGCCAUCCUCGGUACUCACACUUAUCUUGAGUCUUUUAGUAGUAUCCAUUAACUUGUCUAUGAACUGUAUAGGCAACCAAGUAGUCCUUUACCGCGGACGCGGCUAUUCGAAUAGUUACCGCCGUUUACACGACAUGUACUCGACAACCUUCAAGCGGAAGCCCAACGAGGGUGUCGGCCACGGCCUACCUAAACACUCAAGCCUCUAGUCCAGGUUUAUCGCCUAUCCAGGUUCCAUCCGCAGGGAGUCCGGCCGAGGUUUCCACACGGCCCCGAACGAUGUGAACGGGGUUCCCGAGACACCAAAUGGGUGACUUGGUACACCGUGCCAUGAUGUAUCUACCGCAACAUAGCCCACCCCUAGGGUCAGCGCUACGCACGGCCGCCAACACAUAACCUACACACACCAGAAACUAAUUCCAACUCCUGGACAGAGUACUAGGGUGAUUAAGAAGCCGAGAGGGUCAAUUAAGGAUCCCAAUGCAUGGUAGUAGCUGAUUCUUAAAAUCACACAUACAGAUCUCAGUUCUUAGGGACGGCCUCAAUGAAACAACCCACCAUGUACUACUACAUGGCCUCUCAUCGAUACCUUUACCAAAUCAUGUUCAACACAUCCCUCACGUUACCGACCUAAUCAUUUCACUCUAGCCCAUCACCCAGAUGAACCAGACCUGACACAACUCUAAGCAUAGCAGGCAUAGCAAGGUAGGAAACACAUACAAGGCUCAAUCAACUCCUACACAUGCUAGUGGGUUUCAUCAAGUUACUGUGGCAAUGACAGGUCAUGCAGAGGAUAAGGGUUCAACUACCGUAACACACAGUAGUUCGAAACGUUGUUGUCUUAAUGCAGUAAAGGAGAGCAGAGGCGAGAACAUGGGAUUGUAUCGAUAUGAUCAAUGGGGCUGCUUGCCUGAUGGAGUGGUAGUAGGGUACUGCCCUUCAGUUGGAUACUUGCAAAUAUCCUCGGAGGCAGAACCUACCACGAAGGACACACAGAACAUAAUCAACACAUGACAAUAUGCAACAAUAUGAUGCAUGCUAUGACAUGGCAAAAUGAUGUGUCCUGCCUAAUGCAAUGUGAAACAAGUUGAAAUGGGUCCAUUUGAACCAAAGAUUCAAAUGGAAGUUAAAGUUCUUAUGCAUAAUAAGUGUGUAAGCUUGUUUCGCCUAAACAGCAAGCUUAAAGUGGUUUGUCAUGCAUGAAACCAUUACAGAUGGAUAGAUUGAAUUUUUCUGAUCAUUUUUCAUAUAUAAUUUGUUUGAUUUGGAGCUAUGGUUGAUUUUUUAUGAUUUUUAGAAGUUUUGGCUAUUUUCUAGAAUUUCCAAUAUAAAAAUAAAUCCAGAAAAUGAAUAAUUGCGUCAGCACUGCGUCACUGUGACGUCAGUGAGUCAAAGGCGCCAGGGCCAGUCAAACCUGACUGGUGGGCCCUGUCUGUCAGUGUCUCAGCUAACUAACAUGAUUAAGUUAAUACUAACUAACUGUCAGUGGGGCCUGGCCCACAUGUCAAUGACCUAAACUAAUUAUAAUUAGUUAGCACUAAUCCUAAACUAAUUAACAGGCCGGCCCCACCUAUCAUAGGCUCAGGGGGGGAGUCAACCUGGGCCCACACGAGUCAGGCGUGGUCAACUCGUCAGUCAGCGGGUCAAAGCCUGCCGGCGUUUAGCCGCCGGCGAGGCCAGACGCGGCGGUGCGCUGCGGGAUUUGCCCACAUGGCAUCAUUUGCUGCGCGGAGAGUAGCUACGGGUAGCUGGUGCUCGCCCGCAUCCAGCCGUGGUGAUGGCUUGGCCGGGGAGUGGCCGGAGCAUCGCCGGCGACGAGUGAGGCCGAAGCUCGGGUCAGCUCGUGCGCGUGGCUGCAGUGGCCUAGGCGGCGUGGCGCUUGCACCUACAACAUCUACGUGAUGCAGUGAGUGUGACGGGCAUAAGCCCGUGACCAAAAGGUCACCGGAGCAUCGCCGACGACGUGGUCAGGCAGCGGUGCGUUCGGACGGAAAAGGCACGGCGGCUACAGAGCUCUAGCGACGAAGCGGAGAGAAGGGGGAGGAGCAGUAGCUCACUGGGAAGCCGCAGAGAAGGUCAGCGUGCUCGGGGAAGGCUCGGUGCGGUCGGAACGGCGACGGGGAUCUCGGCGGCCCGAGGUUGAAGACGACGGCGGCGGGGACGAUGCAGGGGCUCCGGCGUCGUGCGGCUUGGCUAGUGAACAUAGUCGACGACGACGAAUCGUCCGGACACGGUGAGAGGGCGCGGGGACGGCGUUGGACGUGGCUGCGGCGAGCGGCGGCGACAGUGACGUCUCGGGCGACGUCGGGGAGGGCGAGAGAGAGGAACCAGAGGGAAGAGCGAAUGUCUGCGAGGUCGGGGAGAGAGAGGGGGGUCAUCCCACGUCGACAGCUCGACGAGGGGAGCGGCGAGGCGGCGGGCAGCUGCGUGGCGCGCAUGCUGUGCUCGCCGUCGAGCAGCUGCUUGCCUGCCUGGCCAAGCCAAGCAGCUCGCUGGAGCGUUGGCUGGGCUGGGCCGGCAGG